GCAAUAUGGAAGCUAAACCCUAAACCCAAGCAAACAAAAAUUUUCAAACCCGAUUUUGGACUUGUUUUUUUUUUAAUUGUUUUUUUUAAUGGGGCUACAUGCCGAUUUUGGACUUGUUUUUUUUUUAAUUUUUUUUUUAUUAGGGCUACAUGCCGUUUUUGGACUUGUGUUUUUUUUUAAUUGUUUUUUUUAAAGGGGUUACAUGCCGACACUGUAGUAUAGUAUGCCUUUAGCCCUUAGCCUUUAGCCCUUAGCCCUUAGACUUAGCACUUAGC
This 275-nucleotide long non-coding RNA is filed under the name Vitis vinifera (wine grape). RNAcentral's name for it is "long non-coding RNA (VVIN_LNC008105)". The record is from RNAcentral. Lineage: Eukaryota; Viridiplantae; Streptophyta; Magnoliopsida; Vitales; Vitaceae.